This is a long non-coding RNA of Aethalodelphis obliquidens (Pacific white-sided dolphin), 2603 nucleotides long. RefSeq lists it as uncharacterized. NCBI's taxonomy places the organism in Eukaryota, Metazoa, Chordata, Mammalia, Artiodactyla, Delphinidae. The transcript is spliced from 3 exons. The record is from RefSeq and is a predicted model, not a curated record.
UCUCCUCCUAGGCUCCGAAGCUCCGCCUCCAUCCAGGCUGAUCCCCCACCAGUGAAGGGACUCCCAGGGUGCGGGAACCUUUUCUCCUUCACAGCUCCCUCCCUGUGGUGCAGGCCCGUCCCCAUUCCUUUCUAUUUCCUUUUGUCCUACCCAGUUACUUGGAGGUUUUCUUGUCCUUUCAGAAGUUUGAGGUCUGCUGCUGGCAUUCAGUAGAUAUUCUAUGUGAAUCAUUCCACUUGCAGAUGUGUUUUGAAUGUUUUUGUGGGAGUAGGUGAGCUCCCUGUCCUACUCCUCCACCAUCUUGAUCCCCCAGCCUGUAACUGUGUUUUGAGACAGGACUUUUAAAGAGGUAAUCAAGUUCGUAAAGGUGGGGCCCUAAUCCAAAAGGACUGGUGUCCUUACAAGAGGAAGAGGAGACAUCAGGGAUGGGCAUGUACACAGAAAAGGCCAUGUGAGGGUAUGGAGAGAAGGCAGUCAUCUGCAAUCCAAAGAGAGAGGCUGCAAGAGAAACCAAACCUUCCAGACACCUUCAUUUUGGACUGUCAGCCUACAGAACUGUAAGAAAAUAAAUUUCUGUUGUUUAAGCCACUCAAUCUGUGGUAUUCAAUAUUUUGUCACAACAGCCCUAGCAGACACAGAGAAUAAGCUUAUGAAAAGAUGGUAAAUACCAUUAGAUCUCAGGAAAAUGGAAAUUAAAACAACAAUGAUAAACUACUACACACUUAAUAGAAUGACAACGUUAAAAAGACUGAGAAUCUGGCAAGGAUGUGGUGCACUUGGAACUUUCAGACAAUAGUGGUAGGAAUGUAGAAGUGGCACAAGCACUUUAUAAGAAAUUGCUGAACUAUCUUUUAAAGUUAAACACACACUUACCAUACAACCCAGCAAUUCAGUUCCUAGGCAUUUACCCAAGAGCAAUGAAAACAAGUAUCCACAAAAAGACUUGUACGUAAGUGGUCACAGAAUUUUAUUCAUAAUAUCCCAAAACUGGAAACAACCCAAUUAUCCAUCAACUAGUGAAUGGUUAGACAACUUGUGGUAUUCCACAGAAUAGAAUAUCACUCAGCAAUAAAAAGGAACAAUCUUAAUACCUGAAAUAUCGGCAAUUUUUAAAAACAGAAGAAGCCUGACACAAAGGAAUAUAUAUUGAAUGAUUCUACCUAUAGGAAAUACUAGAAAAGGCAAAUCUAAUCUACAGGAACAGAAAGCAGACUUAUCCUUCCUUGGAGCUGGGGUUAGUUGGUGGGAAGCAGGGGCUGAAUGCAAGGGAGCACAAGGGAACUAUCUGGAGUGAAGGAAAUGUUCUCUACCUUGACUGUAAUGCCGGUUUCACAGGUACAUAAGCUUGUCAAACCUCAUGAAACUUAAAAUGGGUGUGUUUUACUGUAUGUAAAUUAUUGCUCAAUGAAGUUGAUUUUAAAACAUCAGACAGACAGGCCCUCUGCAGCAUUUAAACUACAGAAGAGAGGAUAGAAUGCCUUUAGUUAGCAAAAGGAGACCAGAGCAGACAUUCAGAGAGAAGUACAGAGAGAGAGCAGCCAGCCACUAAGUGGCUUCAGAUUUUCUGGCACUGCAGUGCUGUACCACACAGAGAAUAACAAUAAAUCUUUUUUUUUUUUUAGAUGGUGCCCUGAGAGAACCUUUGUUUCUUCAAACUAAAGGAAACUAACAAACCAACUGACUACUCAAAGUUUCUGCAUUUCUAUUUUGGUUCCUUCAAUACUAUCUGGCACAUAAUAAACGUGUUGAAUGCAUGAAUGAUGCACUGAUGACAGUGUUAUCAAUCAUACACUUUGCUGAUUGGAAUUAAUUUUUUACAUUAAAAAAGCAGUUCCAUGGUUUAAAAAAACUGUUUAAAAAUAAAUUUAUUUUUAAUUCUCAAACAAUGAAGGCAAAUGCCCUUUUGCAAGAUAUGUGGUAAUACACUGUAAAAAAACAAAUCUAAAAAAUGAAUUAGCAUGGCAACACAAAUGUCAGAGUACCAGAUGAGAUAAGCCAUUUAUUUGAAAAGGAUUUAACGAUUUAUAGCACAAUAUAAGAAAUUAGCUUUGCUAAUGGAUACAUAAAUUCUUUUUGUCUGAUUUUUUGGUAGAACACAGUGAAAAUAACUUAGAGAAAAUAAUGCCACAGAUAUAUCUAAAAUGUGAAUGAAGCUGGAAGCAGCAGAGGACCACACACCAUGAAAUGUAAACAGAGGAGAAAAAAGCUAGAUGCCAGACAGGAAGAGAAGAACCAGAAAAGCAGUCUUUACAAAUAGAGCAACACUAAUACUCCAAGAAGAUGGGCCAUGCUUAUCCUGAGUGUGCUCCCCAAAGAUGCCAGUCAGAAGCUGACAGUAUGGAAUGAAGGGCAGCACAGCUGGAAGGAGAUGUGGCUCGGAGAGCAGAGAGUAGAAGGUCCAGAGGUCCCUACCAACCUAACAGAUGAAAAUCCAAGGCUCUGGGAGGUCAGGUCUGGAGAUACAAACUUCAUGACUACCUGCAGUCAGAUACGAGUGGAAGCCACAUGAGGGAGAAGGGAGAGAAGCAGAGAGCAAAGGGCAAAAGAUUUGAUAAAUGUCCCUGAGGGGAGAAAAAAAAAAUCGGGUUAGAGAAGAAAGAAUC